This 349-nucleotide long non-coding RNA is filed under the name Phasianus colchicus (ring-necked pheasant). RNAcentral describes it as "lncRNA (ENSPCLG00000009397.1)". The record is from RNAcentral. Lineage: Eukaryota; Metazoa; Chordata; Aves; Galliformes; Phasianidae.
AUGAGAGACGUUUCUUCUGAUAGAGAAAUAGAUGAUACUUACCCUUCACUUCUGUGGGGAAGCUGGUGGCUCCAGAUGGGAUGAGCUAGUGCUGUAUUGCUUUGGCUGUAGGUGUCAGAAGAUGAAAUUCUGCUAAACUUUGAAGAGAAGAGGCUGAAGCAUCAGGACAUGCCAGCAACUACAGAAGAGGGAAAACAGAACUCAGCUGGACGGACACCUGCUGAGACUCUUUUCCACUCUGUCAAUAUGGGAAUCGCACACUCUGUGCUCAGCAAGGUGAGAUAAGAAGGGAUUCGGGUAACUAAAGGCUCGUAAUAAAUAUCAAGCAGCACAGGAGAUUGAAGGUGGA